Molecule: ribosomal RNA, 394 nt
Filed under: uncultured Thiobacillus sp.
Lineage: Bacteria; Pseudomonadati; Pseudomonadota; Betaproteobacteria; Nitrosomonadales; Thiobacillaceae
Description: bacterial SSU rRNA
Rfam family: Bacterial small subunit ribosomal RNA
Source: RNAcentral
CAUGUCCGGAACUUGCCAGAGAUGGCUUGGUGCCCGAAAGGGAAAUCGGAACACAGGUGCUGCAUGGCUGUCGUCAGCUCGUGUCGUGAGAUGUUGGGUUAAGUCCCGCAACGAGCGCAACCCUUAUCAUUAGUUGCUACGCAAGGGCACUCUAAUGAGACUGCCGGUGACAAACCGGAGGAAGGUGGGGAUGACGUCAAGUCCUCAUGGCCCUUAUGGGUAGGGCUUCACACGUCAUACAAUGGUCGGUACAGAGGGUUGCCAAGCCGCGAGGCGGAGCCAAUCCCACAAAGCCGAUCGUAGUCCGGAUUGUUCUCUGCAACUCGAGAGCAUGAAGUCGGAAUCGCUAGUAAUCGCAGGUCAGCAUACUGCGGUGAAUACGUUCCCGGGUCUU